GGUGGCUCAGUGGUAGAGUGCUUGCCUAACAUGCAUAAGGCCCUGGGUUCAAUUCCUCAGCACCA
This 65-nucleotide transfer RNA is filed under the name Dipodomys ordii (Ord's kangaroo rat). It matches the Rfam family "tRNA". From Rfam's summary of the family: Transfer RNA (tRNA) molecules are approximately 80 nucleotides in length. Their secondary structure includes four short double-helical elements and three loops (D, anti-codon, and T loops). Lineage: Eukaryota; Metazoa; Chordata; Mammalia; Rodentia; Heteromyidae. The record is from Rfam by way of RNAcentral.